UUCCUCUCCAAACAAAUAGAGUCCGUAGAGACGAAGGAUGGUCCAGACUUGGAGUUCGCACUAGCAAAACAUAUCUAUCCCUCUAGCAGCACCAAAGAUAUUCUUUCCAAAAUUUACUCCGCAACUAAACACUAUCUCAGUCUCUCCUCCAACCAUUUCCAUUGCAUCUAGCCACAGUCUCCAUAGCCAUUAAUGGCAAUGGUGACUACUCCCAUCACAACCACUACUGUAAUCAAUUGGAGGGAGGGAGGGAAGGAGGAGGAAAAGAGAUAUUAACUUAAGGAUUUAAAAUAAAGUUAAACGAAUGCCCUUUUGUUUUAAAGGGCAUAAUGGUUAAGUUAUAGAAAAGAAAACUCUACACUAGAAGCAUAAAGCAUUGGUAAUAUUUUUUUCUCCAUGAAUUAAAUAUCAACCAAGCUAAUCCUAAGAAUAAAACUGAAUUCACAUGAAAGUUAUUUAAAAGACAUAUAUGACUUUCCAAUGAGGUGUGUUUGAUACUUUCAAAA
This 506-nucleotide long non-coding RNA is filed under the name Phoenix dactylifera (date palm). Its description in RNAcentral is "long non-coding RNA (PDAC_LNC022310)". The record is from RNAcentral. Lineage: Eukaryota; Viridiplantae; Streptophyta; Magnoliopsida; Arecales; Arecaceae.